CAGGAGUCCUGAGAUCUGGAGGCUGACAGGUGCAGCCUAUCUGGUCCUCAGCCACGGUGCAAUAAAAGGGAGGACUGCCAGCAUAUCAGCGGCUGACUGUUUUGCCCCAGUGGUAUUGCUCUAUGCUUCGCUACUUUGGUUUAGAAGAAUCUCUGGAAUUCCCACAUACCGUAAACUUCACCGGACAUCUUACCUGGCUGGUAGUCCGAACGGAUCAGUGUACCGCUCCAGCCGUGAAUCCUGUCCACCCCUCCUCAAAGGAUUAUUUCCCAGGAUCCAGCCGACAUCGUUCUCUGGAUCAGCUCUCAGUCCUGACGCGUCCUCUCCCUGGUGGAUACCGACGCCCCAUCACCCAGCCCGGCCUUCAUGGUGGCCAGAUCCUUGUUCCUGUCUUUAAAUAAAAUACUUAAAAC
Molecule: long non-coding RNA, 413 nt
Organism: Girardinichthys multiradiatus
Lineage: Eukaryota; Metazoa; Chordata; Actinopteri; Cyprinodontiformes; Goodeidae
Exons: 3
Source: RefSeq, a predicted model, not a curated record